RNAcentral lists this ribosomal RNA (231 nucleotides) under uncultured bacterium. RNAcentral describes it as "partial 16S ribosomal RNA". It matches the Rfam family "Bacterial small subunit ribosomal RNA", at positions 524 to 753 of the family's 1533-position model. The record is from RNAcentral.
UACGAAGGGGCUAGCGUUGCUCGGAAUCACUGGGCGUAAAGCGCACGUAGGCGGCUUUUUAAGUCAGAGGUGAAAUCCUGGAGCUCAACUCCAGAACUGCCUUUGAUACUGGAGUGCUUGAGUCCGGGAGAGGUGGAGUGGAACUGCGAGUGUAGAGGUGAAAUUCGUAGAUAUUCGCAAGAACACCAGUGGCGAAGGCGGACUCACUGGCCCGGUACUGACGCUGAGGUG